RNA transcript from Paramormyrops kingsleyae, 4132 nucleotides. It is a transcript of the gene named kelch-like family member 20, with no coding region annotated. The record is from RefSeq and is a predicted model, not a curated record. NCBI's taxonomy places the organism in Eukaryota, Metazoa, Chordata, Actinopteri, Osteoglossiformes, Mormyridae.
AAAGAAUCGUUUACGUCAGCUGAGAAUAAGUAUAUAUAGAUAAAAUAAUUUUAUUCUUAUUAAUCACAAAUUUCUUUUUAUUAUCCAUUUGCAUUUGUAGGGCGUAUUAGUGGAACCAUGUGCUUUCGAUGUAUCGAUUGCUAGGGGACCGUAUAUUGUGUGCACAUUUCCCGUUUGUGGGAGUUAGUGGAUUAAGGUUUUUUAGAAUUCCAUUUUGCUGAAUAUUUUGUCGUGUAACUGGGUAUUGUAUAGUCUGCUGGUUUGCAAAUAUUUAAAUGAAAGUGUAAGGUAAUUUGACGGGUUACACACCCAAGAUUGUACUUUCUGUGCAUGGACAGAAAGCCAAUGCGCAGAGGUACCAGUACACGCCCAGACACCACCGGGAUGGACAUCACCAGCCGCUGCACUCUGGGAGAUCCAAACAAGCUCCCUGAAGGAGUCCCACAGCCAGCUCGGAUGCCUUAUGUGUCGGACAAGCACCCACGUCAGACACUGGAGGUCAUUAACCUCCUUCGUAAACACAGAGAGCUGUGCGACGUGGUGCUGGUGGUAGGCACGAAGAAGAUCUACGCCCAUAGGGUCAUCCUGUCUGCCUGCAGCCCCUAUUUCCGAGCCAUGUUCACAGGCGAAUUAGCUGAGAGCCGCCAGACAGAGGUGGUGAUCAGGGACAUCGAUGAGCGUGCCAUGGAGCUGCUUAUUGACUUUGCAUACACAUCACAGGUCACAGUGGAGGAGGGUAAUGUACAGACACUUUUGCCAGCUGCCUGCCUGUUGCAGCUGGCUGAGAUCCAGGAGGCUUGUUGCGAGUUCCUCAAACGCCAGCUCGACCCCUCCAACUGUCUGGGAAUCCGUGCCUUCGCGGACACUCAUUCCUGCCGAGAACUGCUGCGCAUAGCUGACAAGUUUACCCAGCACAACUUCCAAGAAGUAAUGGAAAGUGAGGAGUUCAUGCUCCUUCCAGCUAACCAACUGAUCGAUAUCAUCUCAAGCGAUGAGCUGAAUGUACGGAGCGAAGAGCAGGUGUUUAAUGCUGUUAUGGCCUGGGUUAAGUACAGUAUCCAGGAACGCCGACCACAGUUGCCCCAGGUUCUCCAGCAUGUCCGGCUGCCAUUGCUGAGCCCCAAGUUCCUAGUGGGGACUGUGGGGUCGGAUCCCCUUAUCAAAAGUGAUGAGGAAUGCCGAGACCUUGUUGAUGAAGCAAAGAACUAUCUGCUGUUACCUCAGGAGCGACCCUUAAUGCAGGGCCCGCGAACACGGCCUCGGAAGCCGAUUCGAUGUGGGGAAGUCCUGUUUGCAGUGGGGGGCUGGUGCAGCGGUGAUGCCAUCUCCAGUGUGGAGCGCUAUGACCCCCAGACCAACGAGUGGCGCAUGGUGGCCUCUAUGAGCAAACGCCGGUGUGGAGUGGGUGUGAGCGUCCUGGAUGAUCUUCUCUAUGCAGUUGGCGGUCAUGAUGGCUCCUCUUAUCUAAACAGUGUGGAGAGAUAUGACCCCAAGACGAAUCAGUGGAGCAGUGAUGUGGCCCCUACAAGUACCUGUAGAACCAGUGUGGGGGUAGCUGUAUUAGGGGGCUAUUUGUAUGCAGUUGGUGGCCAAGAUGGAGUGUCCUGCCUCAACAUCGUAGAAAGAUAUGAUCCAAAAGAGAACAAGUGGACACGAGUUGCUUCCAUGAGCACCAGGAGGCUGGGUGUUGCUGUGGCAGUUCUGGGUGGGUUUCUCUAUGCUGUGGGAGGGUCGGAUGGAACAUCCCCUCUCAACACAGUGGAGAGGUAUAAUCCACAAGAAAACCGAUGGCACACAGUGGCUCCCAUGGGGACGCGCAGAAAGCACCUAGGCUGUGCUGUCUACCAGGACAUGAUCUACUCUGUUGGGGGUCGAGAUGACACCACUGAGCUUAGCAGCGCUGAACGCUACAACCCUAGGACAAACCAGUGGUCUCCUGUGGUUGCCAUGACAUCUCGGCGAAGUGGUGUAAGCUCUGCCUUUUUCCCCCCCCACUGAUUUUUCUGUGGGGUUCAAAUUGGAGUCCAAGAUGGUGUGACUUAGACAAUGUUUUAAUACAAAAUUUGCUGUAAUGAAAAGCUGUGGGGGACAAAAAGGUCUUUGUGUCACGUUUGGCAAGCGGGCGAGCAGCGAAGCAGGCAAACAGAGCCAUAAAGACGGGGUUUAUUGUGGGUGGACUAGCAGACAAGGAACAAAACAUAACAAUACAAUGACGAAUCUGGGGAAGACUGACUGAGACUCGGACUAAAUACACAAGACAAACUGAGUUUAACGAGCAACAGUGGAGAACAAUCAGGCAUAAACACGAGGUAACGAGGUGGGCGUGGCACACACAAGGAUCAUACGGAGCUGGGCGUGACACUUUGGUUGUGGGUUCCAUUUCCACUCUUGGCUGCAAUGUUUAUGUGGAGCUGGCAUGAUCUCACCAGGGUAAUUGCAUUUUUUUCCUGAAAUCCUGCUUGGGAUCAAUAGAACAUCUUUAAUCUCAUCUAUCUAAAUUGACUGGGAACUGAGAAAUUGUACGUAAAUUAUAUUCAGGAUUGAAAUGUGCUGUUGCAUGCAGACUAUGCUUUAUGCCUGAGAUGGUAAUUGACCAUUAUUUAACUGUCAAUGCAGGCAGAGAUGGCAUGGCAAGUUCAUUUAAAAAAAUAUGGCUACAAUCCUCUGGGAAAAUAAGUCCCUGUUUCAAUAUAAUUUUGCUACUCCUACAUGCCUACUUGUGUCAGGAUAUGAUAGAAGUAGAAUAUGUUGUAUCAUGCCACUUGUCCUGGACAGAAUCACAAGGUUUUGGAGCCUCUCCCGGACAGCAGAGCACAGUAGCACAGGAGCACCCUGAAUGGGUUAUUGCAUGCAUACAUUCAACAUUAAUUAAUCCCCUGGGGACGAGCACAUUGUGAGAGAUGUAGUUAAAGUUUCCAAUCUAUUUGUUUAUAAUUUACCAGAUCUUUUCGUAGAAUCACAAAAAAAAAUAAUCAGUUUUUUCAAAAUGUCGAUUGUCAGAUAUAGUAAAGUUUUUAAAAUUAUAAUAAUUUGUUCAGAUGCAAAAAUGUGAACCAUGUCUCCUUCAUUUUACCCUUAUUGGGGGCAUGAAGUACCACGCUUACCUUCAAGAUCUCUGAUCACAUUGUAAACAACCACAUUGCCAUGUAUUUACAAUGUAUUUUCAAUAGUAAGUCUAUGGUAAUGCAUGGUAAUUACCCUUUUUUCUUUGGGGGUGACGCAAUUCAGGUUUAUUUCCAUGAUCUCACCGCAAUAAAAGGUGUUCUAGGUCGAAACAAAAUUUAUUGAAAACACCUUUCACUCUAAUAAGAUGGCAAGCCUCAUGAAUUGACAGGAAGCACCUCAGGUUUUUUGGAAAAUGGUGGAGGAAUGUGGCAAUGAAGAUAAAUUUGCGGCGGAAGAUUGCAACACUGAUAAAGAAUUGUUUCAUUUUGAAAACUGGCUUGAUCCAGUUGUUGAUGACCUCUCCAAGUAAGUGCAUUUUUAUUACCAUACUUGUUGAUACAUGCAUAAAUUUAUAAAAACAAAUUUAGUGUACAUGUGCUUAUCAUAAGUUAUAUUUGGCUCUUUCUCGAGUUGGUUAGUCAUUACUAUUUUAGGUUCACUAAUGUAGUCAUAAUUGAUUGAAAAUCUGAAACACUGAAAUCAUACAGGCACAUAAAGUUUUGUUAGUUUUUGUGUUAGCCUUGUUGUGCAAUGUAUUGGCAUAACUGUUUUGUAUUCGUGUUAGCUAAUGGCUGGAAUGCAGUUUCGGUUUGUUGUUGUGCUGUUAUCACAUAUUUUUUGCAACAUUUACAGAGACGAAGACUGAUCUGUAGGGCACCUUGGAACAUUGGUCAGACAGGAUCACGCUAUUCCAAGAGUUCACCUCUUCCAAAAAUGCAAGUUCCCUGCUGGCUGAUGAAAAAGUGAACAAUAUGUGCAAAACGCUCUUCCAUGUAUAUAGCUUGUUUGGUGGGGAGAGCUGUGACUAGCUGGUGGGACACUUGGGCCACCUAGGCCAGGUGGGUUUAGCAGUUGUAAAUGGACAAUUAAUGGCUGUUGGAGGCUUUGAUGGCACAACAUAUCUAAAAACAAUAGAAGUCUAUGAUCCAGAUGCUAAUACAUGGCGACUCUAUGGAGGAAUGAACUA